Molecule: long non-coding RNA, 2141 nt
Organism: Gallus gallus (chicken)
Lineage: Eukaryota; Metazoa; Chordata; Aves; Galliformes; Phasianidae
Source: Ensembl
AUCUCUGGUUGGAUAUACCUUCCUUGUGGAGUUUUCCCUUUGAGCUUAGAUCUUCAGAGACAGAAACAAAAGCCCACGUCCUUGUCAGAAGACAUCAGUGCAUCUUGCUCAGAGCUGACUAGAAGGCUUGCUGUGAGAAACCAUGGCAAAAUUAUUGAAUGAAGUCUUGUGCGUGCUUCUUGUAAACUUUUCCUGAUUUGCUGACGCAUCUCUAUUCCAUACUAAAUUGCUGCUCCAUGCAGCUAUUGAAAAUACCACUGAUACAGGUGGUACCUUCAAGCUGAAGGAACAAAAGGCUGUUAGAGAACUGUUGGCAGGAGAAAAGGCAGAAGAGGAGAGGAAGCAAAGUUCUUUUGAUGAGGCCUUGUAUUUCAAGUUUUCAGGUCUUUCAUAGGAAGCUGAUUAGUAAAGAUUGUCAUGGUUUGGGAUCACUUUUCAUUUUCAUUCUAAGGGAAGAUGUACUGUUAGAUAGUGUUAAGCUUCAAUGAAGAAUGAACUCUUCUUCCUUGGACCUUCUUGUCAUAUUUAGCACUUGAUAGAAAUGGUUUAACUUGUAAAUGACUUGUAAAUCUAGUCAUUGUCUUUCAGGUCAAGGAGUCCAAAAAUUAUGGUGGCCUGUUUUUGAAGAUAUUUGUUUCUGUUGCACUUGAAUCUUAGUAAUGAGUUGUAUUUAAGCUAUUGAACCUUCAAAUUGUUCCUUCCUUUGAGAGCAAAAAUGAUUAUGGUGAAAAGAAGCAUCUUCUUGGCUACUUUUUAAGAAAGGAGAACAGAAGGCUAAGAAUAAAUACAGAAUAGGCAGAAGAAGUGAAACCAGUGCAGCAAGGAAGAGAACAGAAUGGCCCUACAGGAAGAUCUGACCUAUCUGUAGAGAAUAGCUCAGAGAGACAUCUAGACUACAACAGGAGAAAACAUAAGGAUGGUGUGUUAUUCUAGUCUGAGCCUUAGUUACUAUGGUAUUGUCUGAAGUUCAGUGAAAUUGUGUUAGAUACCUUUGCAAAGGCUGUGCAUUAUGAGUUUCCACUCAAUGUAUAUGCUUUGAAGAGGUAAUUAAUGGUUGCUCUGUCUCAGAGAGCUUGGCUGCUUCUCCAUCCUGCACAUCCAUUCUCUUAGGCCAGCAGAACUGCUUACAUGUCCAGCUGGAGAGCAGAUCCACAUGAAGACAAACGUAGGGAGAAAAAGUUUACAGCCGGUUCCAUUUUCUGCUGUCUCAGUGACUGAGCUAGCUUGUGAUGGCUAAGAGAACUCAUCAUGCAUGUAAUAUGGUGAUACAGAUAUAUACACCUAGCGGGGAGCCUGCUGGUGAGGGCAUGUCUGCUGCUGGGUUGUGCAUGCAGCAGAGGUGGUGGGCAGACAGCUGGAGGUGGCAUUGUCGCAAACUUCUAUGCCAAGAUUUGCCACAGGAUGUUUUAAGGAGCCCCUGAUAUGCAGGGUAUCCUAAAGGACUCAACCACAGAAAUAUCAAACAAAUGUGAAAAAUGUAAAGGUGACAAGUGGAAAACUGUUAUCAGGGACUAAUGUUCACACGAUUUUUUUGAGUGACAGCUUUAUCCUUUGAUGUUUCUCUGAAGUACUAUCUUUUUCCUCUCUGCACUGGGGCUGAUGCUGUUUUUAUUUGGUAUUAUAAAUUAUGUAAAUUUUCUUUCCCAUUCAGGCAGAAUACAGUCCUUUUCCCUAGAACAAGUGUGGUUUUCUCUUUGCUAGAUGAGUUAUUCCAGCUAAUAUGAUAUAUACUUCAUGGGGUUUGUUCUCCUUUAAAAUUUGUUGGACUGAGAUUGGUUUGUUAUUCACAUAUAAUACAAGCUGGCAGGAGCCAUAAUACGGGAGCAUGAUUACACAGAAUAAUUCAUAUUUUUUUUCUUCUAGGCAAAUAGAUGCAGUUGGAAAGUAUCUCUGUUUUCAAGGAUGUCUGUCUUUGUUCAGUCUGUAGCAAGAAUGAUCUGUUGGAUUUUUAGGAUGGCAAGAGUGCAGGCAGCUGCUCUGGACAUUUCCAGACUCAAGAUAUACAGCAGAAAAGUUCAGUUUUGGUCUGCUGAAUAUAUUAAGAAUAAUAUAAGAAGGAAGAGCCACACGCUAGAAAUAGGAAAAUAUUACUUAGAUGAAUGAACAACAACAACAACAAACAGGAUGCUGGCUUUAAACCC